AAAGGGAGCGUAGGCGGAUAGUUUAGUCAGAGGUGAAAGCCCAGGGCUCAACCUUGGAAUUGCCUUUGAUACUGGCUAUCUUGAGUACGGAAGAGGUAUGUGGAACUCCGAGUGUAGAGGUGAAAUUCGUAGAUAUUCGGAAGAACACCAGUGGCGAAGGCGACAUACUGGUCCGUUACUGACGCUGAGGCUCGAAAGCGUGGGGAGCAAACAGGAUUAGAUACCCCUGU
RNAcentral lists this ribosomal RNA (230 nucleotides) under uncultured bacterium. Its description in RNAcentral is "partial 16S ribosomal RNA". It matches the Rfam family "Bacterial small subunit ribosomal RNA", at positions 562 to 791 of the family's 1533-position model. The record is from RNAcentral.